GAUUAUUAAAUUAUUGUGAAUGUUUUACGUAAAGUAAUAUUUUGUUUUAUUAUUGGUAUAGAAUAAAUUAUUUAAAUUAUAGUUUAUUAGUAUAGUGAUAGAAUUUUGAAAUAUUUUAAAUGUUAAUUUUUUAUAAGAAGAAUUUGGUUUUUGUACCUUGUGUAUCAGGGUUGAUAAAGUUACUUUCAUUGAUUUGUAGUUCUCGAAUUUAUAAGAGUUAAGGAAUUUUGUAUUUUGUUGUUAAAUAAACAUUUAAAAGAUUUUUUUGGAAGUGAAAUGUUAUUCGUUUAUAAUUAUAUCUAGUUGUUUAAGAAAUUAAUUUAAUUAAGUAGGUUUAAUUGAACUGGGUUGUUUUUAUGGCUUUGGUUUAUUGAUUUAGUAAUUGUUUAAGGGAUAAGCUUUGAGCAAUAUUUCAAUGAAGGAAUGUAUGUAAAAAUAUUAGUAGGGUUGGAAGUUUCUAUCUUUAAGUGUGUUAUUACAAGUAUAUAUAUUGAUAUUAUUUUUUUUCCUUCUUGUUAUUUUAUUGAAUUAGUUAAUAAAAUUAUUUAUUUUUUUAAUAAUGAUUAAAUUAGUAUAGGAAUUUGUUAGGUUUAUUUAGAGUAGAUAUUGGGAUAAGGAAUUCGGCAAGUAGUUUUUCGCCUGUUUAUUAAAAACAUGUCCUUUUGAUAAUAAUUUAAGGUCUGGCCUGCCCACUGAAUUUUAAAUGGCCGCGGUAUUUUGACCGUGCAAAGGUAGCAUAAUAAUUAGUUUUUUUAUUGAAAGCUGGAAUGAAAGGUUGGACGAGAGAACAACUGUCUCUUUCUAAAUUAGUUGGAACUUUAUUUUUGAGUUAAAAAGCUCAAAUUUUUUUGAAAGACGAGAAGACCCUAUAGAAUUUUAUAUUUUUUUUGGUUAGGUUUUAUUGGAUGUUUAUAAUUUUGGUUUUAAAAAGUGUUUUGUUGGGGUGACAGAAAAAUUAAAUUAACUUUUUUUGUAUUUAUUCACUUGUUUGUGUUUUGCUGAUCCAUAUAUUUUGAUUAUAAGAUUAAAUUACCUUAGGGAUAACAGCGUUAUUUUAUUUGAGAGUUCUUAUCGAAAGUAAAGUUUGCGACCUCGAUGUUGGAUUAAAGUUAACUAUUGGUGUAGAGGCUAAUACGUUGGGUCUGUUCGACCUUUAAAAUUUUACAUGAUCUGAGUUUAAACCGGUGUGAGCCAGGUUGGUUUCUAUCUUCAAAUAAUUGAAACAUUUUAGUACGAAAGGACCAUUUGUUUAUAUUUAAUGUUAAUUUAUGAUUUCUAUUAAU
This 1283-nucleotide ribosomal RNA is filed under the name Ceruchus minor. Its description in RNAcentral is "16S ribosomal RNA". The stretch from base 592 to 1283 matches the Rfam family "Archaeal large subunit ribosomal RNA", at positions 1423 to 2852 of the family's 2987-position model. The record is from RNAcentral. Lineage: Eukaryota; Metazoa; Arthropoda; Insecta; Coleoptera; Lucanidae.